AAUCUGGCUCUUUUAGAGUCCGAGUUGUAAUUUGCAGAGGGCGCUUUGGCUUUGGCAGCGGUCCAAGUUCCUUGGAACAGGACGUCACAGAGGGUGAGAAUCCCGUACGUGGUCGCUGGCUAUUGCCGUGUAAAGCCCCUUCGACGAGUCGAGUUGUUUGGGAAUGCAGCUCUAAAUGGGAGGUACAUUUCUUCUAAAGCUAAAUAUUGGCCAGAGACCGAUAGCGCACAAGUAGAGUGAUCGAAAGAUGAAAAGCACUUUGGAAAGAGAGUCAAACAGCACGUGAAAUUGUUGAAAGGGAAGCGCUUGCAGCCAGACUUGCUUACAGUUGCUCAUCCGGGUUUCUACCCGGUGCACUCUUCUGUAGGCAGGCCAGCAUCAGUUUGGGCGGUAGGAUAAAGGUCUCUGUCACGUACCUCCUUUCGGGGAGGCCUUAUAGGGGAGACGACAUACU
This 454-nucleotide ribosomal RNA is filed under the name Alternaria sp. PML10F. Its description in RNAcentral is "eukaryotic LSU rRNA". It matches the Rfam family "Eukaryotic large subunit ribosomal RNA", at positions 119 to 577 of the family's 3401-position model. Lineage: Eukaryota; Fungi; Ascomycota; Dothideomycetes; Pleosporales; Pleosporaceae. The record is from RNAcentral.